UAUGUCAUAACAUGUACAAGACCAAAUGUAGCAUACUCACUAGGGAUAGUGAGUAGAUACCAGUCUGAUCUAAGAGAGAACCACUAGAAGGUCGUAAAGACCAUCCUUAAGUAAUCACAUGUCUGAUCCUUUCUGAUCGAUUCAUUUUUGAUUCUGGAUUCGAGGUCGAACCCUUUGAUUGAGAGUGAUUUCCUGCUUUCAGAGCGGG
RNAcentral lists this long non-coding RNA (208 nucleotides) under Elaeis guineensis (African oil palm). Its description in RNAcentral is "long non-coding RNA (EGUI_LNC050993)". The record is from RNAcentral. Lineage: Eukaryota; Viridiplantae; Streptophyta; Magnoliopsida; Arecales; Arecaceae.